RNAcentral lists this long non-coding RNA (631 nucleotides) under Ananas comosus (pineapple). Its description in RNAcentral is "long non-coding RNA (ACOM_LNC004810)". Lineage: Eukaryota; Viridiplantae; Streptophyta; Magnoliopsida; Poales; Bromeliaceae. The record is from RNAcentral.
GGAAGUAUCUUCUAGAAGAAAUAACAAGUUAUUUAUUUUUUAAAGUAUGUUUGGUUCAACGUAAAAUCGUGAAAAAAUAAUUUUUCGUGAAAAAAAUUUAUUGAUGAAAGAAAAGUUUUACAUUUUGUAGUAUUUGGUUUGUAGGGGAAAAAAAUAUAUAGUUUUUCAUCAUAUUUGUUUCAUUGAAAGAAAAAAAAAAUUCACAUUUAUUUGGUUCGGUGAGAAAAAAUGAAUUAAAAAAAAUUUACGCAGCUUGAGUUUUCGUUUUUCAUUGAAAAAAAAAAAAAAAAAAAAAAAACAUCAUUUUUUUUUUUUCAAAUUCGUAAAAAUACUUUUAUGGAAAAAUAUUCUUGUGUCAAACCAAAAAAGGAAAAGUUCAUUUUUCAUAUUGAAAAUAAUUUUUCGAUUCAUUUUAUGCCGAACCAAACAGCCCGAUAACUUUGAGGCAAAAAAAAGGUGAGUGUAGGAUUUGGGCGAUAGAGAUAUAUAAAUCUUAGGCAAAAACUUAAUGAAAUUGUAAUCAGAUCACCGACUGUCCCGAGCAUAAUUAACUAAUGGCUUGAUCCUCGUCGUACGUAUCAAGAUUCUAAAUUUUAAUUUUAAUUAUUUCAUAUUUUUAAAAACAUAAAAG